This 74-nucleotide ribosomal RNA is filed under the name Desulfosporosinus sp. Sb-LF. RNAcentral describes it as "partial 23S ribosomal RNA". The record is from RNAcentral. Lineage: Bacteria; Bacillati; Bacillota; Clostridia; Eubacteriales; Desulfitobacteriaceae.
GUUGAUAGGCCAGGUGUGGAAGCACGGUGACGUGUGGAGCUGACUGGUACUAAUCGGUCGAGGGCUUGACCUAA